This 259-nucleotide ribosomal RNA is filed under the name uncultured Sphingobacteriales bacterium. Its description in RNAcentral is "partial 16S ribosomal RNA". It matches the Rfam family "Bacterial small subunit ribosomal RNA", at positions 1123 to 1382 of the family's 1533-position model. The record is from RNAcentral. Lineage: Bacteria; Pseudomonadati; Bacteroidota; Sphingobacteriia; Sphingobacteriales.
AGGUAAUGCUGGGGACUCUAAAGGAACUGCCUACGCAAGUAGUGAGGAAGCGGGGAUGACGUCAAAUCAGCACGGCCCUUACGUCCAGGGCUACACACGUGCUACAAUGGCCGAUACAGAGGGCAGCUACCUGGUGACAGGAUGCAAAUCUCCAAAGUCGGUCUCAGUUCGGAUCGGAGUCUGCAACCCGACUCCGUGAAGUUGGAUUCGCUAGUAAUCGCGCAUCAGCCAUGGCGCGGUGAAUACGUUCCCGGGCCUU